UACAACAAUCCAAAGGUAGGAAAUCUUCCCAAAAUCUGCUUCUGUUGUUCACUAUGGUAAAAAUAUUUUCCAAGUGAGUCUUAUCUCCAAUUUCAAUCAAAGAAGAGACAUUUUUGGCAUCCCUUGUUCUUGGAAAUCAGAGCAAAAUAAGCUGAGAUUUACAUUACCAAAAAUUUCAAUAUUUAAAGUUUAAAUAUCAGAGCAGUGUGGUGUUGAACUUCUACCUUCUUACCUGCGACUCUGACAGUACACAUUUAUUUUUUAGGAGGAAUCAAGCUUCUGUAACUUUUAUGGCACUUAUUCUUCACACUGAUAAAGACAUGAGUUAUUGGAAAUAUUUUAGGAGGCACUUGAGAGAUGAAUCAAAAUGCUCUUUUCAAUUCCUUCAAGCAUUCUUUGGAAGAUGACAGGUAGUCCCUUCUCAACUUUUCUAAACUAUUUUUUUUUACUGCACUUCUGCUCAGAUGGCGGAGAGAGUUCACUAUCCCUGGAGGAGCAAAGACAGGCACCUCACAGAGAGUCCUGACAUGAUUUUUAAGGCUAUACUACAGACUGGAAGUGGAAGACACUACCUCCUUCUCACAGUUAAGAGAUCAGCAGGCCAGCAUUCAAGGAGGUUUUUUCUCAAAGGCCCAUGAACUGAACUCAAGCAAAUAGGCUCCUGAAGCACAGUGUCCCAUUUCUCUUGUUCCACAAGGUUUGGGAAAGAUGAGAUAGGAUUUCAUCUGACUCAGAACAUUUAUUUCUAUUACAAGAUUACUACAUUGUCUCCAUUUCAUGAUUUAUGUCUUAUUCAUGGCUUCUAUUUGUGUUAUAUUUUGAGAUGGUUGAAAACUUAAAUUUGUAUUUAUAUCAUUUUAAUGGUUAAUUGAGUAUGUUUUGCCUGAUCUUUGUAUAUUUGUGGCAUUGAAUGUUUGUCAGAAUCAAAAACUGCACUGAGUCCCCUUGGGGUGAGAUGGAGCAGGGGAGAAAUAAAAUAAACAAAUAAAUAAAUAAACUUGUAGAAUACCUCUUUUGAAAAUGUAAUUGUAUUGAUGUGAUAUAAUAUUUUCUUAAGUGUGGUGGGUUCUCUGAUAAAUAAAGGGUCUCCACAAUGAAUGGAAUCUCUAUUCCUCUGAUAUGAAUUGCCCUACAUCACAAAUUUUGGGCUUCAAUUGCCGCCAUUUUCAAAUAAUAUAUCAAAUUGUGAUUAUGAGAGUCAGAGCCUAAAACAUCUGAAGGGUCAACAUGUGUCAUCCUUAUCUUAUGUAAUCAGUGUUUUAUUUAUUUAUUUAUUUAUUAUUUAUUUAUUACAAUAUUUAUAUUCCGCCCUUCUCACCCAACAGGGGACUCAGGGCGGCUUACAAUAAAACACAUAUAUAAAAUUGUACAAUACACUAUAAAAUAGUUAAAAAUUAUUAACUUACAUCAGAUAUUCAUAAAACACAUUCUAAAAUACAGAUGGGCGUGUUCAAGUUUAAUACAAUUUUCACUUAUUUUGUAUUAUUUAAAAUUGUAGGAGCCCCCGUGGCCUAGUGAACUAAAGCCUCGUGACUUGAAGGUUGGGUUGCUGACCUGAAGGCUGCCAGGUUCAAAUCCCACCCGGGGAGAGCGCGGAUGAGCUCCCUCUAUCAGCUCCAGCUCCAUGCGGGGACACGAGAGAAGCCUCCCACAAGGAUGGUAAAAACAUCAAAACAUCCGGGCGUCCCCUAGGCAAUGUCCUUGCAGAUGGCCAAUUCUCUCACACCAGAAGCAACUCAGGUUGCUCCUGACACGAAUUUUUUUUUAAAAUGUGACUACUUAGUAUUGAUUAAGCGCACAUCUAGAUGUAUGCAUAUUUACAACCACAUACAGAUGCAUAUACACAUGCACAGUCAUAUAUAAUGACUUUCAGAUGGUGGUCUGAUCUGACUGUGAAAUUAAAAAAAAAACUACUAGAAGUUACUCUUUUCACCAGUGGUAUUUGAGAUUACAUUACAAGUAAAUUUGUCUCAUCAUCUUUUUAUUUCCUACAGAUAACUGGUCACGAAGGUUGUGGACAUUUUAUUCUGCUCCUAGACAGGUUAAGUGGGAUGUUUUGGUCAAAGGGAUGGUCUUUCUGUUUCUCACAGCUUCAUAGCUAUAUGAAAGGCUCACAUUGCUUUUUGGAUUGUGGAUGUACUAUUUCAAAUCUGCCUCCUCCUUUUCCGCCACAUUUUGUGCCUCCUUUCCCCCAUCCUUUUUCUUCACCUUUAACCUCCUCCUGCUCAUCUCCUUCUCUUUCUCCUCCUUCUCUCAUCACACAUUUUAAAACAUUUUAUCAGCAAUGAGCAUAAUUUUUUUUAAAUGUACACUUCAUUAACUAAAUCUUGUUCUCUAUUUUUAAUGCCUUUUAAUUAUCAGUCAAGACGCAUUUUAUUUCUUUGUCUUAUAAUUAAAUCUGAAGAAUCCAACUUUUAAAAAUGAUCCUUGUACUCCAAAGAUUCAUGUUAUUUUCUUCUUGUGUAGAGGCACUAUGAAAGAGUGGUCCACUAAUACUCUACUUUGGUAAGGAAACCCUAUUGUGUUUGGCAUUUUCAGCAUUACUUUUUAGCUAAUCUCCACAUGAAUUUAAUAUAUACUGUGAUAUGCUCAAUGUAUUCCUAACAAAGAGAGCCAAAAUGUGCUACUCUUGUUAAGAAGGCAGUGUAGAAAAUUCAUGCAAUUUACUUUUGCUAUAGUAUCUCAUUAAGAAGACUGUAAAGCUGAUGUGAGUUUUAUGAUCUGAAGUGGUGCAGGGAUAAUAAAAUAUUAUUUCAUAGAUAGAACACAAUAAAAAUGCAUUUCAUUGAUGGAACACCCCAGUACUCCUUUUAAUAAGCAAAAGGUAUAUGGUGUUAACAUAAAAUCUUUUCUGUGAUCAAAGUAUUGGCAAGGGGCUGUAUCAGCUGGACCAAAUCUCUUACAUUUCUCUGUACCGUAUUCAGCAUUUAGGGCUAAUUAUCUCUGAACCCCAUUGUAAUCUAUUGCUCAUAGGCCUGGAAAGAAAAUCAUUCACAUUCCACGACAGCUGUUACUUGACAAUGGUUGAUGUGUCUCCAGUGGGCUCGCUGUUCAGAAUAGUUCUGUGUCACCAAGGAGAAUGACCUCAGCCCAGUGUGACAGAAAUCUCACUGUGAGUUUUUGAGAGCCAUGGAAACUAACAGGCAGCAUAGUUUCAGGUAACCAAAGGUGACCUGAGCCAUGUGAGUCAGUGGCAGAGUUCCCAAAUGUCCAGGACUACCCUUGACAUGACAGGAAUCAACUUGUUUAUCAUCUGUCUUGUUGCACAGAUAAGAGAUAUGUGUAUUGUCUUUUACAAAGUAAAAAAAAAUGUGCUGUCAAAAACAGGGAGAUACCAACAAGUAUGAUUUCUUUGUUGGUAUCUUAAAUAAUUGACUUACAAUUAAUCAAUUCAGUAGAGUCCCAAAAUUACAGAAGAAAUAUUUGGAAUUUACAACUUAAGCUGUGAUGCAAGUUAGUGGCCAGACUUGACUAUACAGCCCAGGUGAUUAUGAUGAUCAGGAGAUGGUCACUGUCCUUGUGAUAUGGACAGGGCUAGACAUGUUACAAGUUCCAUGGUCUUUCCUCAGGAUCCUCAAGCAAGCCAACUUGAAGUUGUGGAGUAUUAGACUAUAGUUUGGGCAGGGUACUAGACCAAUGUACAAAAAUAAAACCUUUAUUUGGCUCCUCCGUCUAAUGUAUUUCUUCUUUUUCCUCUUUCAUUCAGAUACUAGAAAGCUGCUACUGUUUUUCAAAAACACAUUUUCAUCCUUGUGUAAUGGUCAACUACAUUUUAUUCCAUUUUCAGAUCUGUUUGCACAAGACACUAUGUGUCUCACAACCUCUGAGGAUGCCUGCCAUAGAUGUGGGCAAAAGGUCAGGAGAGAAUACUUCUAGAACAUGGCCAUACAGCCCGGAAAACAUACAACAACCGUGUGAUCACAGUCAUGAAAGCCUUCGACAACACACUAUGUAUUUGCUUUCACAACUCAUGAUCACCUUGUUAGACUUAUGUUAUUCUAUUGAGGAUUAAAGAGCUUCUAGCAGAGCAUGUAGCUUUGGUGGAAGAGCUCCACAUCUUGCAUGAGUAACUGUCUUGGUCAAGACAUUUUUAAUUCAUUGGCUUUGGUCUGAGAAGUUGUUGGAAGUGUUUAAAUAAAUGCUUUGUUUAACAGGGAUUUAAUAUCAUUCUGGAAAAUAGUGGAUAUAGAUCAGAUGACAAUGAGAAAUACUGAUGUUUUGAUCUGUACAUCAUGACUUUAAAAUAACUGAAGCAACAACAGAAAUGAAAAAUAAUGACCAGUAUUCUAAAUCAGAUCAAGCCUGCUUAAAUAUCUAAAAACACUAGAUCCCAUCUGAUUUUGGGAACUAAGCAGGAUCAGCACUGUUUUUACUUGGGCAAGAAACACCAAUGAAGACCAGAAGCUCCAGAUUAUAUACAUUUCAGAGGAAAAGACUGGCAAAACCACCUUUAAGUAUUCCUAUGAAUUUCACAAGGGUGCCUUAAGUAGAGAGAUGACUUGAAGUUAUUUUUUUAGAUUGGAUUGUUUUAGAUCGAAUUGUGAAUUGCUUUGAAAAGUUGGAAAUACUGUGGAAGCUUGACUUAAAAGCAUUCCAACUAAAGAGUGUUUUGAGUUAAAAGCUAUCACUCAGUUUGGGUUUCACUUUGACAUAUGAGCAGCAUUUUGAGUUAAGAACUUGUGCCAGAGGGAGCGCUAGUGCCAGUACUAGCAUGAAAGUACAGGACUUUAGGGCUUCAAGGAAGGUGCCUCUGUACCUUGUGCCUCCGUACCUCCGGACCUUGUGCUCUUGUCUGCUUUGGGAAAUUGCUGUCUGCUUUGCCCUUUUCCACUUUGAGGAACUUGGGGUUAGUUGAUUUUGUGUGAUUUUUAUUCCUGGUAUGUUUAGCUUCAUGAAGAGAGGGAGAGAAAGCAAGAGAGGGAGGGAAACUGAGCAUAGUAUGAAGAAAAUUAUGUUUCUGCCUCUUCACUUUGAGCUUUCUUGCCACAACAUUGUGAUUCUACCAUUUUAAAGUUGAUCUUUAUUUUUUAUUGUUCAUGUGAAUGUGCAUUUAUACAUUAUUUGUUAUUUAUAAAGUAGAUUUUCUUAUUUAAAAAUAUAUAACAAAAAUGGGGGUGGAGGUUGGGAGGCCGGGACGAAUUAAUGGCAUUUCAAUGGGAAAAUUCACUUUGAUAUAAGAGCAAUUGGAGUUAAGAGCUCGGUCACAGAAGGAAUUACAAUCUUAACUCAAGAUAUUGCUGUAUAUGGUCAGAUCAGAAAUUAUAGGUAUUGGGCAGUCAUGAUCAACAGAGAUUUGUGAGGGUGGGAGGCUGCUUCAAGCUGAUGGAAAUUCCCCAUUCUUGACUCAUGGAGGGUAGUGAAAUGCUGACUGGAGGACAAUGGCAUAAGAGAGGGAAAGGAGAGGAAAGUACUAAAAUUGGCACAUGCUGUAUUCAUUCCUUAUGUGAAUCCCAAGAAAGGUGGGAGUCAUUUUCAGUAGAUUCGUGUCCUCUUUUUCUCUCUUGUCAUAGUUGUUCAGUCCUAAUCUGCUGCUAAUAACAAUAACAGAUUGAGAUUGGUUCAGAAUCUGCUGCAGAAUGCAAUAACCAAAGGGCUGAGUGGAGUGGCCAGUCACACAGAUAUUAUGACUAUGAUGAAAAACUGCACAGUUUUUGAUGUUAGCAUACAGUCUCUAAACAAUUCAGAUCAGGUUAUAUGAAGAUAUCUUUCUUUGCUACCUUAAGAGGAGGUCUAACUGGGUGGAUCUGGCAAUAAUUCUCCAUGUCUUUGCUAUAUUAGCCUUUGCUAAUUCUUUGGGAGCCACCAACACUGUUGUGCUUCUAAAGGUGAUUAAAAAUACCAUUGCCAAGGCAUACUCUGGCAUUUAAGUUGAUUCUUCUGUGGAUAGAGAAAGGGAGAGAAAGAAAGGGAAUGAGGGAGGGAGAGGGAAAAGAUUGCAGACAUAUCAUUAAUCACUUUAUGCAUUUAUAUAGAUAUAAUUUAUCCUUUUCUUGUCAUAUUUUCUUUUCGUCCAUGUUUAUGUGAUUUAAUAGUUAAUUUUUAUAGUAACAAUUAAAAUAGUAAAAUAAAUGAAUAAUAUACAAUGAAUUUUGGGAGGUUUAACAAAAACAAUGUUAAGGCCUGGAAAUCACUAUGGAUGUCCACAAAUAACACAAACCAACUGCAUUGAUUUUCAGCAAAACUGUAAUUGUAACACACAGCAGGAGUUGCAUUCAAGCAUGUUAUUGCAUCAAAUUAAUAUGAACUCCAGACCCGAGAGUCUCUUUUUGUACCAGGAUUUGAACAUCAUUUUUUUAAAAAUGAAGAGGGUACUGCUAAGAAGAAAAGGACAGGGCUGGCUAAGUUAAAUCCAGGGGCAUAGGAUGAUUGUGCCAUUUUUUAAAAAUCUAGAAUGUGACUGUACUGAAUAUUUUUUGUCUCACGUGCCUGUAUACUAUUAUGUCUCUAACACAGAGUUUUCUUGGCAAGAUUUGUUCAAAGAAGGGUAUGUCUCUGCUUCUUUCAGAGACUAACAAAAUAUUACUUGCCUAUGUUCCCUGAGUGGGUUUUCAUAUCUUAAAUACAUGGUGGGACCCACAUGUAAAUCCAGUAGAAGAAGAAACACUAUCAUGCAGAACUUUUCUUCUAUUGAGGAUUGCAGUCUCUUGGUGUUUUUGUCCACACUUGCAUGGUAGUGGUUGAUGAAACCACAACUAUCUAUGGGCAAAGCCAGAGCCAGACCUUGACCAUGCCAUUCCCUUUCUCCUUUUACUUCUUCCUAUUUCUACAAACCCCUUUCCUAACUUCAUCUCUUCUUUCCCAUCCAGCAGCUAGUGUCAGAAAGAAUAAAUUAUUCCUGCAGUAGACUUUCUCCUAGUCUUGAUUAUGCCCAUUGGGCUUUACCCACUUUCUUCUCCCACCACUGUCACUAUUUCCCCUCCCUCCUCCUUUCUCUCUAAGUUUUUCCCAUCCAUGUAGAAUUAAAAUAGAGGUUGCAUGCAGGUCUUAGGUGCAGCUCUGAGGUAGUUCUAAGACAUUUUACUACCAAGGAGAAGAGAUGGUUCCAACAUGGUUCCUUCCUGGUGGCUCAAAUACUAGUGAAGGAGUGAAUCUGUUCUGAGUCUUUGGGUGCAUUUACACUGUAGGAUUCAUGCAGUUUGACACCACUUUAAAUGCUAUUGCUCAAUGCUAUGGAAUCUUAGCAGUUGUAGUUUGGUAAGGAACCUGUGCUCUUUGGAAGAGAAAGCAAAAGAUCUUCUGAAACUAUAAUUCACAGGAUUCCAUAGCAUUCAGCCAUGGUUUUUCAAGUAGUGUCAAACUGCAUUAAUUCAACAGUGUAGGUGUGCCCUUAGUUCAAAGGAACCAUCCAUGUUACUGAAUCCUAUCCUCAAAGUUAGUUCAACAAUGUAGAUGGCUCCUUUGAAUUUCAAAUCACAACUCAGAAAACAAAUCAUAGAAUCAUGAAAUCAUAGAAUUGGAAGAGACCUCAUGGGCCAUCCAGUCCAAUCACCUGCCAAGAAGCAGGAAAAUCACAUUCAAUGCACCCCCGACAUAUCAUAACCCCACUGACAUGACAGAUACCAGCUGCUCUUCUUCCUGUUUCACGUGAAAAAAAUCUAAGGGGCAUUCAAAUUUUACUUUAGCAUUUGCAGGGGGAGCAGUUCUCUGUCACAUCAGAAAGCAGAAAGCGAGUUCUAGUAGAUAGAGGUUGUGUGACACAGUCAAAUUUAUCUAUCAAUAAAGGGAAAGGAUAGGAGCUCAGAAGGAACGAUGAAAUAACUCCCAAUGCUACGUAUCUCAACACACACCAACUGAGGCAGCCGCUUCAUUCUAACCAAUGAUAGGAUUGACCUUGUCUAAACCUAUGUCAGAGAACAUGCUUUUAAAAUUUUAGUUUAAUCCUCUCUUUGAUGAAUAGCAUUUGUGAUGUUGAGGAUCCCCUGGUGGCACAAUGGGUUGAACCCUUGUGCUGGCAGAACUGUUGACCAACAGGUUGGCAGUUCGAAUCCGAGGAGAGUGGGUGAGCUCCUUCUGCCAGCUCCCCAUGUGAGGACAUGAGAGAAGCCUCCCACAAGGAUGGUAAAACAUCAAACAUCCGGGCAUCCCCUGGGCAACAUCCUUGCAGGUGGCCAAUUUUCUUACACCAGUUUCUCAAAUUGCUCCUAACACAAAAAAUGGUGGUGUUGUUGCUGUUUUUGCUGCUGAUGAUGUGUACCUUCAAAUAAUUUCUGAUUUAUCAUAAACCCUUUACUGGAUUUUCUUGGCAAGAUUUGUUCAGAGGAGGGUUUGCAUUUACCCCCCUCUGAGUAUGACUUGCCAAGGUCACCUAGUGGGUUUCCAUAACUGAAAGGAAAUUUGAAUCCAGAUUUUUAGAGUUUUAGAGGAUCGCUGAAGAACGAUUAUAAAAAAUUCUAAGAUGAAACAUGAGAAAUUCAGUGACCUCAGCUAUUUCUGUGUAAGCUUGAACCAUAGUUGCAACCCUGUGCUUUUUGACUGUCAGAGGAGAAACAGCUGAGGCAAAAGUUACCUAUUUACACUAGAGCCAGAUCUCUGUUGAAGGCAUGUUAAUUUUUCAUGAUUUGUUUUCUCAAGAAAUAGACUAACUCUAAAAAGCAAAACAGAAGAAAACAAACUACAGCUGACAUUAGGCCAGAAACAGCAGCAUCCAUUGAAAUACACUUUUUUCUUUCGUUCUUUCAAGGUGAUUGAUGCAAUUUUCUAUUAAAGUUACCUGUGCUAGAAUUGUUUUGACUGUAAUGAUUUUCUGUCCUUUUAACUCAGCAGUCAGAGCAGGAAAACUGGCAUGAGUCUCUUUGAGUUCCUGGAUGUUCAAAUGUGAAGAGGAAGUGAGCUGUAAACCACAGCAGUUCUGACAUUGGGGACCGCCAAUACAGGUUAUGUUUAGCCUGCAGAAGAGAAGGCUGAGAGGAGACAUGAUAGCCAUGUACAAAUACGUGAAGGGAAGUCAUAGGGAGGAGGGAGCAAGCUUGCUUUCUGCUGCCCUGCAGACUAGGACACGGAACAAUGGCUUCAAACUACAGGAAAGGAGAUUCCACCUGAACAUCAGGAAGAACUUCCUCACUGUGAGGGCUGUUCGACAGUGGAACUCUCUCCCCCAGACUGUAGUGGAGGCUCCUUCUUUGGAGGCUUUUAAGCAAAGGCUGGAUGGCCAUCUGUCGGGGGUGCUUUGAAUGCGAUUUCCUGCUUCUUAGCGGGGGGUUGGACUGGAUGGCCCAUGAGGUCUCUUCCAACUCUAUUAUUCUAUGGUUCUAUGAUUCUAUGUGACUGGAGGGCAUAUUUUCAAUUUUUCACAUUUUGGGAUAUUUGUGAAAAUUUCAUGGCUUUUACCACAAAGCACAGUGUUUUCAAUAAAAAUGAAGCAUGUCUGUGUGUAUGUGUGCAUACGAGCAUGUGUGUAAAUGAAAAUAUAAUAAACCAACUGGCAAAA
Molecule: long non-coding RNA, 9427 nt
Organism: Anolis carolinensis (green anole)
Lineage: Eukaryota; Metazoa; Chordata; Lepidosauria; Squamata; Anolidae
Exons: 2
Source: RefSeq, a predicted model, not a curated record